GCUGGCAGGUCGUCGCCCGCCUCCGGCCCCGUUCCCGCGCGGACGGGCUGCCGGGGCCGGCUGGGUCUCCAGGCACAUGCAAGCCCGUGGCUGAGCCCCGGCCUCGCCGAGCGCGACAGCAAUAAACGGUGACACGUUCGCUCCAGCGCAUUUCCUGGCACGUUACAAAACGUGCCAUAAAUAAUUAAACCUGAGCUACAAUUAUCAAAACAAACGAAUAAAGCGCAGUUGGGAUGGAUUUUCCGCUUUUAUUUUGUGCUUCUUGUUUCUUUCCUGUAACGUUUUUAAGAUUGUUUGCUCGCUCUUGGCGUGAAAUCCGUCCGUGAGCCGCGAGGCUUUGCGUUCGCACCCUGAACCGCGGGGACUCGCGCGGCGGCGCAGCAGAGCCGGCUGCUGCAAACCCAAAUCCCCCCGGUUUUGGGAGGCCGUAGCCAUCGCCCCACGCGCGCGUGGUGCUUGUUGAUGUUUUGCUAAUGCGGCCGCAUCGGUGCAAGGCUGGUCCCUGUCGCGAGCAGGUAGGAUGCUCUGCAAAGCAAGGCCGGGGCUGGAGGGGGCUGGGAUUUUGGAGGCAGCGUUUGCCCCCGGCGCGCAGGGCGGUGCAGAGGUGGUGCGGCUUUGCAAACGGCAGAAAGGUCCAACUUGAAUGUUUACCCCCCCUAAAAGGCUGACUCCACCUAAAUUGGCUCUCCGGUGCCCUUCCAUGCUCACAAGCCCUGUUCCCGGCGCAUCUCUCGGUGCGGUUUGGGCUCCGGCGCCCUCCCUGCCCCUCGGCACGCGGGAGCCUCGGGCCGCCGGUCACCGCGCUGCAUUUCCCCCUCAGAUGCUUUCUCCUGCUGCUCUUUUGUUUCGGAUUUAUCAUGGCUCGAUCGCCUUGCAGGAGGGAAGAAGCCAGGACUCUGUUCCCUCUGUUUAAAGUCACCAGGUCAGUACCGGGGCCGGGGCGAGCAGCGGCCCCUGCCCACCCGUUACGUGUUCAAUGUUGGCUCCUUCCCCGACCCCCUCCCGGUGCGGGGUGCCCGCCGCCCGGCCGCCCCUGCGGCGCAGGGCGUUUGCAGCCAGGCUGCAGCCUGCUUUCCGCUUGCCUUGGGCCAUUCAGCCGCUGAAGCACAGCCCCUUUGCAGGGCCGGGAGGAGGAAGCCUCUUUGCUCGGGAUGGUGCCUGCAGCCCGAGGCCUCGGUGCUGCUCCCGCGAGGCACUGGCGCUCUCCCCCCUUGCAGCUUGCAAGGUUUGGGGGCUCCCUUUUGGGGACUGGGAGGGGAAACCUUGCAGGGGAGGAAGAGCGAAGCAUCUUGGCUCCCCGGGGUCGAGGUGGAGAGGCAGGUGCUGUACCUAGGAGCUGGCUGUGCAAGCGUGGAGGGCUUUAAAAAAACUGUGAGAGAGGAAAUGUGGUGGAAUCUGCUCGGUAGCAUCCCUGCUGGGUCUGUCAUAAUAAUAGAUUUUACUUCCAUGGCAUCUGUCGGCCUCUAAUGGGCUGGGUGUUCCCGUUGCGAGAGACGGCUCCAGCGUUUCGGCAUUUCUUCUCGGGGAGACUGCUGCCGGGAGCGCGGAGGGGCCGGGCGAGCCCACCCGGCCCCGGCUCCUUCUGCUUUAGGUGCAUUUAUCCGGGGCUUUAGCUGCCCUGGAGCAGGCGCAUUUCCUCCGCUGGUGCAGGCUGGAAGGUAAGGGGAGCUGCCCUGGCGCGUCCGUCCGUCUGUCUCGGGAUGUGCAUUGCCGUCACGCAGCCGGCGCCCCGGCAGGGCUUUGGGAGGCUUCGUGCCUGGCAGGGAGACCUGGAGGAGGAGGAAAUGGAGCUUGUAAUACGUGGGGUGUGCCGGGCCUCCUCACGGCAGAGCCUGCUUGGUGUAAAACCACGGCACCGGAACAGCGCGCUGUAAUUUAAUUGCGUUUCCUGCAAACGGCUUGUUGGCUUGUAAUGAACACGUUCCUCCGAAACGGGAGCGGGGCCGCGAGAGGAGGGCAGCGGCCCACGGCUGGCCCCGGCAUCCCAACCGGGGCCCGCCCGGGGNNNNNNNNNNNNNNNNNNNNNNNUCGUUUGCUGCCCCAGAAUUACACGUGCAAUGAGCUUCCCGGCUCCGAAGGGCGGGCGGGCGCGCGUUCCCGCAGCUGGAGAGCAGAUUGCCGGCCUGUUUCCUUGCGACCGGGUGGGAACGCGCGCUCGCCGCGCUCGGUUUCUGCCGCUUUCCGCAAGAGUUAAGGGUUGGCUUGCGUGUCGCCUGGCUGGCCGUUGGAUCGCACCCGUCCCUGGAAGUUUUGUCUCCACCUGGGGCGGCCGCAGGUUGUGCUGAUGCUGGUCCCUACGUACCGUGAAAACGUCGCGUUAUGGUGAUGCUUUGUCUGGCUGCAAGUUUUUAAACAGUCUGGGUGUUUCCUUAUCACGGCGUUCAGGGCUGUGAAAUACUGGGAUGCUCUUGUGAGCGGGGAGCUCUUCCAAAAGCCUUCCCGUCAAAGCAGCGGGCAGCUUUUGGGGCCGAGGUGACGGAGCCACGGCAGCGAUAGCCGGGCGUCCCUGGAGGAGCCCCUUCGCUCUCCUCCCCGUGGGCCUCGUGUUCCCUGUACCGAUAGCGCUGGGGGUGAGAGUGGCUUGGUGUACGUGUGCAUCCCAGAACAACCCCGUCCUGGUGUUACCAGCGUCUUAAAUACCUCCGUGCCUCAAUGUGCCUCAAAAGAACAUCUCCCCUGACCGGUCAGUCCAAAUUUCCUGGGGUAACUGCGACAGUGCAAAUAAAGAGAAUAAAUCAGGCUCA
Long non-coding RNA from Struthio camelus australis, 2744 nucleotides. NCBI's taxonomy places the organism in Eukaryota, Metazoa, Chordata, Aves, Struthioniformes, Struthionidae. The record is from Ensembl.